RNAcentral lists this long non-coding RNA (1294 nucleotides) under Anser brachyrhynchus (Pink-footed goose). Its description in RNAcentral is "lncRNA (ENSABRG00000014449.1)". Lineage: Eukaryota; Metazoa; Chordata; Aves; Anseriformes; Anatidae. The record is from RNAcentral.
UGAUAGGAGAUCUAGCUAGCAAAACCCUUAGGAGAAAUACUGAGAUUGUCCCUCUUUACUUUCCUAGUCGCAGACUCAUAGAGGUAAGGGUGACCUUCAGGACAGGAGAUGGGGACAGUGUGAGCUUGGGUACUCUUCCAUGCAAAAGCUAAGCCAGCCCCUAAACUAUACAGGUAUGUCUGUGCAUGUCAUAGAUAUGAAAUGCAGUAUUUUCCCUCAGUAAAUUUAUAAGAAUAGAUUAGGUAUUAUAUAAUAAGCACUUUUUUUUUUCAGUGCUGUUUACCAGUCUGUAGAUAAUCCCAAAUCCAAUUCAUAUUUUAGCUCUUUUAUAUAGUGCAGUGUAAACAUAUUAAUCAAAAUAAAUGCGUUUAUGCUGCAAGGCUAUGUUUUUAGCAGUGUAUAACUUUGCUAAAUUUAAAGUGUUUGGGCAAACAUUUGUUAUGCUGAAUGUUUGACUCAGGAAAUUAUUUUUUUUUAAUGUUUUGGCCAUUUCUAAGUAUGAAGUUAGGAAAAACACUGUUUCUUCUCUGCACCAGACAAAAAAUAAUCUCUGAAUUUAUUUGUUUGCUGAAAAGUUCAAGGGCUUUCAAUCAAUUUUAUUAUUCAGUUUAAUUGUCAUGGUAGUUGACAGAUGUGUUUACCAUCUGUGAAAAAUCAUCUUGUUUUUGCCAAUUUCCAAGAAUCUAGAAAGAAUCUGAUUUCUUACAUGCUGAGUGAGGUCCAGGACAGUUGGUCAGUGGGGUGGUUUGAAGAUUCCCCUUGGACCGAGCAUACUUUAAGUUCAAGUAACUCCUGCAUGGUGACUGGGAAAUUACACCAGGACCUAUGAGCCCAUCUGGUGCUUAGGCACCUACUGCACUUACUUCAAAAAACAGGUCUAAAAUAUUAAAGAAACAAGCUGCGGAGGAAUAAUUCUACAUUCCGUGCGGCUAAGAAUAGGGCAAUUCCCACAUACUUAAUGGAGAACACAAGCAGAGAUGGUCAGUGUCUGCCCAUUGUUGUGCAAGCAAGAAUGGGCACAGAAGCACAAGGAGCACUCCGAAGAAGCACCAGCAUUCUUGUGCUUAUUGUGUGAAGCAGAUUUUUUAGAAACGAGCAUGUGACCAUGUCAUGAAACACUGUGUGAGCAUGUAAUUUAGAAAAAUGCAACAAAUUAUCUUGUGUCACACUGUUUGACUGCACAGACUUUGCUUUUACAGCUUUACAGCAGUGGUUUUUCGGGGCCUUUGUUUCUGUGUGAGUUUAAUGCAAACAGUAAAAUGUUCCACUUUUUUGAUACAUUGAAAUAUUACAU